GCCCCGUUGGUGUAGUCCGGCCAAUCAUAUCGCCCUCUCGAGGCGAUGACUCGGGUUCAAAUCCCGAACGGGGCA
This 75-nucleotide transfer RNA is filed under the name Candidatus Woesearchaeota archaeon. Its description in RNAcentral is "tRNA-Glu". It matches the Rfam family "tRNA". From Rfam's summary of the family: Transfer RNA (tRNA) molecules are approximately 80 nucleotides in length. Lineage: Archaea; Nanobdellati; Candidatus Woesearchaeota. The record is from RNAcentral.